Molecule: long non-coding RNA, 1329 nt
Organism: Eucalyptus grandis
Lineage: Eukaryota; Viridiplantae; Streptophyta; Magnoliopsida; Myrtales; Myrtaceae
Exons: 3
Source: RefSeq, a predicted model, not a curated record
UCCACGAAGCCGGUCCCAACAAAGUGAUGCCGGCGUGAUCGAAAUGGCAUGUCUCUCGGUCAACAUCCCACCGCCGAGCACUGAUUUCGUUGACCCGCAGCUCCUUCGCAGGCCCGCACCUUCGCACCAUCACGGCCCAGCAGUUGGGCCCGUAUCCAACCAGCAUCAACAGCCCACGAAUUCACCCACAAGCCCAUCUUUAGCCCAAGUGAUUUUCAGCCCAUUUCCAGCAGAUUUUGAAGCCCAAGCUCGGGCCCAAGUUCGGUUGGUUUUAGCCCAUUUGAAGUUCAGCCCAUUUUGGGCCCGAAGAAGGCCCAAGCCCGCGACCAGCAGCCUUGCAGAAGCCCAAGACCGAAACUCAGCCUUGCUGAGUUGUGUUGGGCCAGUCCUAGGCCCAGUCCAAGUCCGCCGACGCCGCCGAAAAUUUGAUUUUCAGCCGCCGUCGUGUCGUCAUCGUCGUAGUGAACCGAUUUUCACGAUACACCGAAGAAGAAACAGCAGCACCGAGAGAAGAAAUCGGGAGCAGCUCACCGUUGCCGCCCGCGCGUCGCCCGCGCACUCCGCUGCCGCCUGAACGCCCUCCGCCUCUCCCUCACCCUCCUUAGCCACAGUUGACUCCUUCUUUCUCCCUCUGUUCUGUGCGAAGACCAACAAAAGCAGAGGCAGCGACCAGCGUCGCCUGAAGGGCCGCAGCCACAUCGGACCACCGCCUGGUCGACCGGACGGCGUCGUUCCGCCGUCCACCACCAUCACCGAGCUGCCGUCCCUCACCUCACACUAGUCCAGUGCCGUUCAACCUCCAUUCGCCUCUGCCCAGCCUUGUUCGACCACCUCAGGCCGCCGCCCGACCACCUUCGGCCACCGUCGGCCUCGUUGGAGUUCCGCCUCACCCUCCGUCACCCUUGCUCGCUGCAACCGGCCCCGGAUCUGCCCCAACCAGCAGCAAACAGAGAGGUUCGAAAAUGGGUAUGGCAGCACCUUCGUGGCUCGUUUUGGCCACCGUCCCGACCCCGGAUGCUCGGCCCGCCUUGAGGAAAGUCGAUUCUCGCGUCAAUUCCGUCGUUUUGAGACCCUAAUGAAGAACCUGAGGAGAAAGAACCCGAAGAUGAGUAUCUGAAGGAAUACCCCGAGCAUGAUCCAGAGUAGGAUCCUAAUGACUUUUGCUGUAGAAUCAAUUUGAGUAGAAACCAACUGUUUUAGUAUGGCUUGUAUAUGUACAUGUAUGAAUGAGUCGUUAUAGAUGUACAUAAGGGUGUUGGUUUUCAAGUUCAAGUUUCUAAUCUACUUGUAUAUCACAUAGCUUUAUUGUCUGGAGAUUUUUAUAACUUC